This is a long non-coding RNA of Haliotis rufescens (red abalone), 1108 nucleotides long. RefSeq lists it as uncharacterized. Lineage: Eukaryota; Metazoa; Mollusca; Gastropoda; Lepetellida; Haliotidae. The record is from RefSeq and is a predicted model, not a curated record. The transcript has 3 exons.
UGACCGGCGGCAAUUAUAGUCGUUUGUGUGCUUGUUUUGCCGUUUACAAAUUUGGUCAAUGAAAACAUGAAAUUUACGAUAAAACAUCACUAGACAUGAUGAUUUACACAUUCAAUGGUAUUUGUGUACUGUAUGGCGGACAAUAUUUCAUACGCAGAGAUUAAGGUUACAUGUGUAUUUGUCUCGUAAAAUAAGCCGGAAAUAGCGAUCAGCUGUUUACACAUUUUCGGAUUUUCUUCCCUGUCUGUGGGUGAUUUAGUUUUCAGAAUUCUUAAUGUCAUGGCCACUAUCAUGUCUGAAACGAAAUUCCAGUGAUAGGAAGACCGAAGACUUUGUAUCUCUAACGACUAAUGUUAGUUUCAAGGCGAGAUCAUGAUCAGUUAAUGUGGUAUGAAUAGUCGAUCAGUUCAUACACGAUUUCGACAAUAUUAAUGCAAACAAAAUUGAAUGGAAUCUUGGAAAAAAAGUAUCCCUGUGUUAUGGAUUUUCGGAUACGAAAGAAACAUUCGUAGUUUUCUCUCUUAUCACAUGAACAACUCAUUCACUUAUAAUAGACAACUUUCUUAAAAAAAUUAGCCAUCAUCUGAGUAUGGCCAGGUAGCAUCUAGUGUAAUAACAGGAUUAACUUGCGUGCUUCACCACAUAUCUUGGCUCAUAAAAAUCAUAUGUGCCCUAGGGUCAUAUUAUGUCAUGAGACAACAGUGUUUUGUUUCCGUCAUCCAUCCGUCAGAAUGACAUCACACAAGAAACGACGCCAUAGCUGAAAAUUGUUGACAUUCGACAAAUUGUGGUUCCACUGAUGUUGCGACUUGCUGUCCUUAUAGACUUCGAACACAACUGGAGUAUUGGAAGACAUGUUCUAUUGCUGGUUGCUACGGGAACCACAGACCCUGGUAUGGCUGCCGAUGCUCCACAGACUGGCAGCAGCUGAGACAGUGAAACAUGAGGCGAAGUGCAUUAUUUGUACAUCUUUCCCCAGAAUAGGAUUCAGGUGAGUUUCAGUUAGCUAAUUUCAUAUUUUUCUCAACAUUGUAAGAAGCUUUAUGUGUUUGUUAACAUUGGACCAUGUUCCACCUAUGGAGGGCUUUAAGAGCCUCUGCAGAGUUGU